AGUUAAUGUGUAUCUUGUAAGGUCAGACAAUUACUUGAUGAGAGGAGACUUGAACAGCCAGCCAUAGCCAAAAUCAUCUUGUUACAAUCUCCAUCAAAGUAUUUUCUAAAUCCCAAACUGCAGAAUAGAGGAGUAUAUUAUCUAGACGGUUCCACUUAAGAGUUCAGGCUCAGCAUCAUGUGGAAGGAAUAUUGAAAGAUUAUCCAAGUUGGGAAAGCCUUGAAGUCUCAAUCCAUUCUCAUUU
RNAcentral lists this long non-coding RNA (244 nucleotides) under Lathyrus oleraceus (garden pea). RNAcentral's name for it is "Pisum sativum (pea) long non-coding RNA (PSAT_LNC036404)". The record is from RNAcentral. Lineage: Eukaryota; Viridiplantae; Streptophyta; Magnoliopsida; Fabales; Fabaceae.